This 459-nucleotide unclassified non-coding RNA is filed under the name Hevea brasiliensis (rubber tree). The record is from RNAcentral. Lineage: Eukaryota; Viridiplantae; Streptophyta; Magnoliopsida; Malpighiales; Euphorbiaceae.
AAGAAAGUUGGCGUGGUUGAUGCAGAGUACAUAACUCAUUUGGCUAUCCCUUCUCUCGGUGCUAAUUCAGAUGUAGAAACGGUGAUCAAAGAAUUAGAUAAUAAUUCACCGCAAGGGAAGAACUUGUCUGACUCUGAUACAUUGGCUGCUCCAGUUGAGAAAUUUGACAAUCGGUCUCUGGUUAGGAGACAAUCGUAUAUCGAAAUGAAGAUUUUUCGAGAGAGGUGGGGUAAAGCCAUCAAGCAAGAUCAAUGUUGGGUUGAUCCAUUUCAAAGUCAAGAAAAAGGGAGAACAGAGACAUACACAUAGUGAAAUUUCUGAUAAGUUAUAUAGUUGUUUGUAUAUACAUUGUAUACAAAGAGCAGCUAAGAGUAAAUAGCCAUACAAGACUGAUAGAUAAAUUCAGUCAUCUUUCUUUUGCCUUUGGGAAUCAUUUUUCCUUCUCAUAGAUAAAUUUUG